This 301-nucleotide ribosomal RNA is filed under the name uncultured bacterium. Its description in RNAcentral is "partial 16S ribosomal RNA". It matches the Rfam family "Bacterial small subunit ribosomal RNA", at positions 509 to 807 of the family's 1533-position model. The record is from RNAcentral.
CAGCAGCCGCGGGAAUACGAAGGGUGCAAGCGUUACUCGGAAUUACUGGGCGUAAAGCGUGUGUAGGUGGUUGUUUAAGUCUGUCGUGAAAGCCCUGGGCUCAACCUGGGAAUUGCGAUGGAUACUGGGCGACUAGAGUGCGGUAGAGGAUAGUGGAAUUUCCGGUGUAGCAGUGAAAUGCGUAGAGACCGGAAGGAACAUCUGUGGCGAAGGCGACUAUCUGGGCCAACACUGACACUGAGACACGAAAGCGUGGGGAGCAAACAGGAUUAGAUACCCCCGUAGUCCCUGUCUCUUAUAC